AAAAAAGAAAGAAAAAGAAAAAGAAAAAAAAGACUAAAUCACAGAAAAUACUUUUAUCAAUAUCUGUUUUUUUCACUUUUUUUUUUGUCUUUUGAAAACCUACACUUUAAUUCCUUAGAAAAUAAAAAAAUAUUCAUUUUGGCCUCUCGACAUUAGUGUUCCGUUAAUGUUUCGUUUAUAUCCUAUUUUUUAUACCCAAAAUAUUCCUAAAACUCUCAUCCUUUCUAAUCGACGUCCUCGGCUGCACCGUCUCGCUCUCCAUCGCCUCGCCCUCGCCUACCUCUCUGUCCAUGCCCACUCACACACCCUCGCUCUCCUCCGCUGCCUCACCCUUGUCCUUGCCCACCUUUCCGUCCACAUCUAUCUUGAUCUUUCUCUCAAUAGUCGCCGAAAUGGAAGGGCCGCGAGGGUGCUGGAGGAGCGGGGGAGCAGAUGGAUAAAACAGAGUUGGAGCUAGAGUUGAGGGAGGCGCGAAAAACAGAGAAGCAGAGGCUUAGAUUAGGGAGGAGAUGAAGAAGAUAAGAGACAAUUUGAUCAUUUUGUCACAAUAUAGCCCCUGUGAUUUUUUUUUUUUAAAGAGACAAAAUAUAGAUUUUUAAAUGACAGCAGGAAAAAGCAAAAAAUCAGGUAUUAACAGAAAAAUUUUCUAUAAUUUAGUAAAAAAAAAUCAUAAAUUUGAGUCUUGUACACAAGAUUGUGGGUGUGUGAGUAGGGACGUCAACGGGUCGGAUUUCUAAAAACCCGAACCCGAAUUCGAAAACCAAAUUAAAAUCCGUACCUGGAUCCGAAUCCGGCGGGUUUUAAAAAUUCAUAUCCAUAUCCGUAUCCGACCAAAAAUCCGAAACCCGAACCCAGACUCGAAUCCGGUGGGUCCAUACCGUUGAAUGAAAUUCUAAAAAAUAAAAAUUAUUAAAUAUUUUAUAUAUUAUAUAAAUAAAUAAAAAUAAAUUAUGUAUAUAUAUAAUUUAUUUGGGUUCGGGUUUGGGUUCGGAUCGGGUAAAUGCAAAAUCCAUAUUCGUAUCCAUAUUCGUCGAAUUUUUAUUUUUUAUACCUAUAACCGAAUCCAUACCUGUUCAGCUCGGAUAAACCCGCCCUGUUCAGGCUCAGGUUCUGAUAAUAUUCCAGGUUUCCAUACUCAUUGACAUCCCUAU
This 1151-nucleotide long non-coding RNA is filed under the name Ananas comosus (pineapple). RNAcentral describes it as "long non-coding RNA (ACOM_LNC032189)". The record is from RNAcentral. Lineage: Eukaryota; Viridiplantae; Streptophyta; Magnoliopsida; Poales; Bromeliaceae.